Molecule: long non-coding RNA, 3707 nt
Organism: Cygnus atratus (black swan)
Lineage: Eukaryota; Metazoa; Chordata; Aves; Anseriformes; Anatidae
Exons: 3
Source: RefSeq, a predicted model, not a curated record
GACGAGAGCACAAACACAACUGGUUGAAGAAAUACUUGUUUUGCUUGAAAGGAAUUCUGCCGGACCAGAAAUACCCUAAACUCCUUUUCAGACGUUAUCAACAGUCAGAUGAUUAUAUCUGAAGAAAUACUCUUAUCAGGUCUACCAAGGAAGAACUUGAAAGCCUUUCCAUCAGUACUUCACCAAGCUUAAGAAAAGCAAGCCUACCACCAGUUCAGUUUCUACAGGAACCUACAUACCCUUUAGAAACCUAGUACAGAUCUGCAAGCCAAGAGGUUUAAAAUCCGCUCUACGCAUUAUCCCUAGAACCUCAGUAAUUUCUAUUUAAACCUUCAUUAGCUUCUCUGACACCUGCCAAGCCAGGAACAGGAAGACCCAUGACUAACCGGCAUCAGUCCCAGAAGGAACACCACCUGAAAACACACAAAGGCCUUUCAUGGGCUGAAAGCAGGUGACGUGCCCAAGCCUAUUUAUAGGCCUUCAACUUCAGCAGGAUUCAGCAUGGGUAAAUGGUUUCCUUGAGUGCGACUGUUGGUUAUAGAGACCAGGAACAGCAGAUGCAGAAAGGAAAGCAAGCAUCUGACUAGACUUACAGCUCCCCAGAUGGAUAACAGGAAUUUUUGUCCUGGCUGCUUUGUGAAGAUGCGCCAAGUAUCCAACGGCCUUCAUUGCCAUCCCAUGGCCAUCACCACGUAUCACAAAUGUAACAGAACAAAGUAACAUACCAGUCCCUUUAUGGAAGUGAUUCUUCUUUGGGAGAAGAGAGAGCGGUGGAACAGAUGGAGUGGAACAGGGAAUAGCAAGAAUUACAUUUGCAUACAAGUAUAACUAUUCAGAGCCGUAAAACUACAGUAAGUACUGCGAUUAGCACUCAAUGUUUUAAUAACUCAACUUGUUCUUUACUUUCCAGCUCCUUCAAUUUCCAGAUAUUUUCAAGAUAAAGCUCUUUCUUUUUUAAAUUUUUAAAAUAUGGUCGUCAAGACCACAUUAGAAAAAGAACAGAUUAGCGUUAGCUCUCUCACGAGAGAACAGCAAGGAACGAACUUUCCUUUUCCUUUUUGCCUGUAAACUAGCAGUACGAACCCAGAUUACCACAUUGCCAAACAGCAUAGAGCACCACAGAAAGUCGACUUCUCUGUUAGCACUCUUUGUUGCCUAUGAUCUUGAAGCAAACAAAAACAAGAGAAAGAUGUUUCUGCAAACCGGGUAGGGAAGCUAUCUGAUCAGAGCUUGAAUAGUCUGAGAAGUCAGACACCUAUUAACUAGGAUACAAAGGGCUCUGAAAGAAGAGAAACUAUAGGAAAUAUCUUAAUGCAAGUAAGCACACUGCUGCUGCCGUCAGGUGAUGGAACUUUCUAAGAUUUGUCUCACAACACCUCUCCUGCAACUGCAAAACAUGACUUGGUUUCUGUUGCACUUAAUACCUUCUGAGGCUCAGAGGGGGGUGAAAGAGCUUUCUACCUCUUAUUUUCCAGUCUCAUGAACGCAAGACAGCACAAGAAGAAAGUGGUUCCAACAUUCUCCAUCUCCACCAAGCCACUUGCAAGUGGAAAGCACAUGAUGGGGUCAGGGAAGAAAAUAUCUUAAGUAUUCCUCUUUGCCUGCAAUUUCACUUUUUGCCUCUAAUAUAAAUCAUAUCUGUGUCUCAAAUACUGGCAACGGCAUGAAACUGUGUGAAACCAGUCGCCUUGCAACCUUGUAGCUACCUAAAGCACACUGAGUAGCACCCAUGAAACUGUGGAGAGUUUCUUCAUUUGCUGCUUGCAAAAGAUAAAAGCACUUGCAGCAGAUAAAAGGACUUCAGCUUUGCCAGAUCCUGGGAGAUAACCCAAAAUAAGCCAAGGCAAAGUCACACUAACUCUCAAGGGCUCUUUAAGUGCAUGUUUAGGUUUUACAGAAGGUGGCAAUAAAAGUCCUCAACUGUACAGAUAAGCUACAAAGUCUGGCUCAGCAAGCUUACAGAGAAACUUUCCAAGACUUCUCUAGGUUCUGGAACAAUAACGAACUGGUAAGGAAAAAAAGAGUACAUUAGCAAGGCUCUGACUUCUGUUAUUCUGUUAACAAAACUAUUCAGCGUCAUAACACAAAAUGCAAGAUAGAGUUUGUGCUACUAUUUAUUUCAUGCCAUCUGUCACUGGAGCCUAAUGAUGCAGUUAUAAAAUAUAGUCUGGAGACUAAAUGACCAACCAACGUUUAUGCUGCUCCAUCUGCAAUAGCACACGCAAAAGAAAAAAACACCAAACACGAAGAGGUGGGCUGGGCAUGAAUAAGAUCAAAAAAAAAAAAGUCAAAACUAAGUUGCUCUGAAUGUGCAUGUUAACAUUGCGGUGGCGGGUUAAUCAUUACACAUUUUGUGAUCAAUAGCUCGUUCCAAUUUUACAGAGGAUCAACUACACCAGUCUUCCAGACAAUUACACCAGACUAAGAUUGUCCAAACAUGUAUUCAGAGCUCACCAAUAAUUGUGAAUAGCUCUCUCCGUGGGAGAAGAACACACAAGGAGAUGGCAGCGGAAAGGCAGAAACCCUCACAUCUUUCAGAUUCAGCUGUCAUCUUUGCGAAACAACCACAGGCCCUCUGACCUCCACUGUCCGCUCUCCAGCCGGGCCCUGUGAUUAUUUGAGAAAAGCCAGGAAAUCGGAAAAGGGACUCGCACGCCAGACAGAACACACUGACACCACCACAAGAACGCUGCCAUGGUCCUCUGGGAGCUGAGAAAAACACUUGCAUCCCUUGACUUUUUGGCUUCCAAGACACAUAACAGGGAAGUCAAAGUACGUGGGGGGAAAAAAAGGAAAAGGACAGCGAAUGGGUUUACCACUACCUUUCCAAUGUAGUAUUCUGCUGUAGCUCAAACCCUGCAAUUUUAUCUGAACAGACAGCUCCUCAAGGUUGCACAGAGACCUCCUGAAUUCACACGGGGUGACAUACAGGUCCCCAGCUCAUCGAGUCACAGGGCCAGCUGAGAAUCUGAGCUUUUACCUAAAGAAUGACGAAAAGCAAGUGACACCCAACAUCUGCACAAGCCUGAAAGAAAAUACCAGCAGGUGAAACACCCUGAUGCCUCCCAUCAUUUUAAAGCUCUGUUACUCCGGGGACUCCUGCCCCCUGAACCAGGGCAGAGGAUUACAGUGGGAGGGAGGAAAGCACGGGGUGCUUACCUCUUCCCAGCCGCACAGCACCUGGCAGCUCCCCACGUUCCUACCUCGGUGACAGGCGUGAGCAGGCUGCCACCAAGGUGCAUACCGAAAAUCACUCACACGCCUGCCGCUUCGGCACUCGAGAAGCAUCUCCCCCCCAAAUCACACGUGUUGAUAACAGGGAAUUAUUUUAAUGGAAGUUAAUGAUUUCUUAGAUGCGGUGAUCUCAGCCUUUCCUACCGCUCCAGGAUUAAACAGUUUUUUCCUGGAACAUAAGUACGUUUGGCCCGCUCCACAUCUGCCUGAUAGCUUUGUGUUCCGACAAGCACCACAACUCGCCCUUCACGAGAGCGCCGUUUUAUCCCGUGAACUGUGUGGUUGUUCAGAGGCGCAAAACACGGCUUCCCUGCCUCACCCCGCAAAACAAAGGUGCGGGGAGCGCGGUGACAGCUUCCACAUGCCAGCCGGCUGGCCGCACCGGGGAGGUGGGAAGGGAAAGGAUGGGAUAAAAUGGGACGAGGUGGAAUGAAAUGGGAUGAGGCGAAGUAAAACGGGGUGAAAUAAAACGG